Non-coding RNA from Eimeria maxima, 46 nucleotides. The record is from Rfam. NCBI's taxonomy places the organism in Eukaryota, Apicomplexa, Conoidasida, Eucoccidiorida, Eimeriidae.
CUUUAGGCUUCACUAGAAGCCACCAUAUAAAUAAAUAAAUAUACAU